GUGCUCGCUUCGGCAGCACGUAUUCUAAAAUUGGGAAGACAGAAAAUUAGCAUGGUUUCUGUGCAAAAAAAUAAAUACAAGCAAAUAUAAAUCUGUUU
This 98-nucleotide small nuclear RNA is filed under the name Chlorocebus sabaeus (green monkey). The record is from RNAcentral. Lineage: Eukaryota; Metazoa; Chordata; Mammalia; Primates; Cercopithecidae.